Molecule: long non-coding RNA, 473 nt
Filed under: Mus pahari (shrew mouse)
Lineage: Eukaryota; Metazoa; Chordata; Mammalia; Rodentia; Muridae
Description: lncRNA (MGP_PahariEiJ_G0005526.1)
Source: RNAcentral
AGGUUGAUUCAAAGAGAAGGACAGUUCAGGAAGUCAAGAAAAUGUUCAAGGUGACAGUGAGAGCCAAGUAGGGUUCACAGCAGUGGGUGACAGCAAAGUGUAGACUCAGAUACCCACAGACCUGACUGACUUCAACAAUAAUAUCUUCAGAACUAUCAGCAAGCAUGAUUAUUUCUGACUUGAAUUUACAUCUCAGUUGAGCAAAGGAAGAAAGAAGUGAAGGGCUUGUAAUAAUUACUUUCACAUGCUAAGUUAUGGACCUGCUUUGGUCUUGCCCACAUUUUGAAAUUACAUGGACCCGUUUGUCUACUAUGAAGUCUCAAGUUCAAGAUCGCUUCCUAAGAUGGUCUCCAACAGCCUGCAACACCUCCAGUUCUGGGGUGUCUAAUGCCAUUUUCUGAUUUUCACUGCUAUUUUCAUACAAGUAGAACAUGCGCACAUAUGCAAAAUGAAAAUAAAUCUUAAAAAAGGAA